AGGUCAAGUGAAGAAGGGCGCACGGUGAAUGCCUUGGCACUGGAAGCCGAUGAAGGACGCGACUAACCGCGAAAGUCUUCGGGGAGCCGUAAGUAGGCUUUGAUCCGGAGGUCUCCGAAUGGGGGAACCCAGCAUGUGCAGACAUGCUAUCCUUAAGUGAAUACAUAGCUUAAGGAGGGAACACGCAGUGAACUGAAACAUCUAAGUAGCUGCAGGAAGAGAAAGAAAUAUCGAUUUCCCAAGUAGCGGCGAGCGAACAGGAAAGAGCCCAAACCGGCAGAUUUAUCUGCCGGGGUUGUAGGACUGAGACAUGGCACUUCAGAGGAUAGCAGAAGCGUUUGGGAAAGCGCGCCAGAGAGGGUGAGAGCCCCGUAAGCGAAAUCCAAAGAAGGCCUAUCAGUAUCCUGAGUAGGGCGGGACACGUGAAAUCCCGUUUGAAUCCGCGAGGACCAUCUCGCAAGGCUAAAUACUAACCAGUGACCGAUAGUGAACCAGUACCGUGAGGGAAAGGUGAAAAGAACCCCGGGAGGGGAGUGAAAGAGAACCUGAAACCGUGUGCCUACAAGUAGUCAGAGCCCGUUAACGGGUAAUGGCGUGCCUUUUGUAGAAUGAACCGGCGAGUUGCGUUAGUCAGCAAGGUUAAGUCAGAAAAGACGGAGCCGUAGCGAAAGCGAGUCUGAAGAGGGCGAGCAGUUGGCUGACGCAGACCCGAAACCAAGUGACCUACCCAUGACCAGGUUGAAGGCGCGGUAAAACGCGCUGGAGGACCGAACCCACGUAAGUUGAAAAUUGCGGGGAUGAGUUGUGGGUAGCGGUGAAAUUCCAAACGAACUUGGAGAUAGCUGGUUCUCUCCGAAAUAGCUUUAGGGCUAGCCUCGCAAAGAGGAUGCUGGAGGUAGAGCUCUGUUUGGACUAGGGGCCCGUCAAGGGUUACUGAAUUCAGAUAAACUGCGAAUUCCAGACAUUUAUGUGCGGGAGUCAGACUGCGAGUGAUAAGAUCCGUAGUCGAAAGGGAAACAGCCCAGAUCACCAGUUAAGGUCCCAAAAUUCAUGCUAAGUGGAAAAGGAUGUGGAGUUGCGCAGACAACUAGGACGUUGGCUCAGAAGCAGCCAUCAUUCAAAGAGUGCGUAAUAGCUCACUAGUCGAGUGACGCCGCGCCGAAAAUUUACCGGGGCUAAGCAUGAUACCGAAACUGUGGAUGUGCAUUUAUGCACGUGGUAGGAGAGCGUUCUAGCGGCGGUGAAGCAUGACCGAGAGGACAUGUGGAGCUUCUAGAAGUGAGAAUGCCGGUAUGAGUAACGAAAGACAGGUGAGAAUCCUGUCCGCCGCAAGACUAAGGUUUCCUGGGGCAGGCUCGUCCGCCCAGGGUAAGUCGGGACCUAAGGCGAGGCCGAGAGGCGUAGUCGAUGGACAACAGGUUGAAAUUCCUGUACUGCACCGAAUCGUUAUGAGCGAUGGAGGGACGCAGGAGGCUAGCAGCGCGUGGUGCUGGAUACCACGUUCAAGCGUCAAGUCUGAGAGUGAGUCAAAUGCUUGCUCUCAUAAGGACAAGGCGUGAUGAGGAGCGAAAUUAAAGUAGCGAAGG
This 1586-nucleotide ribosomal RNA is filed under the name Lactobacillus delbrueckii subsp. bulgaricus. RNAcentral's name for it is "partial 23S ribosomal RNA". It matches the Rfam family "Bacterial large subunit ribosomal RNA", at positions 1 to 1591 of the family's 2925-position model. The record is from RNAcentral. Lineage: Bacteria; Bacillati; Bacillota; Bacilli; Lactobacillales; Lactobacillaceae.